UACGUAGGGUCCGAGCGUUGUCCGGAAUUACUGGGCGUAAAGAGCUCGUAGGUGGUUUGUCGCGUUGUUCGUGAAAACUCACAGCUCAACUGUGGGCGUGCAGGCGAUACGGGCAGACUUGAGUACUGCAGGGGAGACUGGAAUUCCUGGUGUAGCGGUGAAAUGCGCAGAUAUCAGGAGGAACACCGGUGGCGAAGGCGGGUCUCUGGGCAGUAACUGACGCUGAGGAGCGAAAGCGUGGGUAGCGAACAGG
This 253-nucleotide ribosomal RNA is filed under the name uncultured bacterium. RNAcentral's name for it is "partial 16S ribosomal RNA". It matches the Rfam family "Bacterial small subunit ribosomal RNA", at positions 524 to 776 of the family's 1533-position model. The record is from RNAcentral.